RNAcentral lists this ribosomal RNA (583 nucleotides) under uncultured bacterium. RNAcentral describes it as "partial 16S ribosomal RNA". It matches the Rfam family "Bacterial small subunit ribosomal RNA", at positions 355 to 937 of the family's 1533-position model. The record is from RNAcentral.
UGGGGAAUUUUGGACAAUGGGCGAAAGCCUGAUCCAGCAAUGCCGCGUGUGUGAAGAAGGCCUUCGGGUUGUAAAGCACUUUUGUCCGGAAAGAAAUCCUUGGCUCUAAUACAGUCGGGGGAUGACGGUACCGGAAGAAUAAGCACCGGCUAACUACGUGCCAGCAGCCGCGGUAAUACGUAGGGUGCAAGCGUUAAUCGGAAUUACUGGGCGUAAAGCGUGCGCAGGCGGUUUGCUAAGACCGAUGUGAAAUCCCCGGGCUCAACCUGGGAACUGCAUUGGUGACUGGCAGGCUAGAGUAUGGCAGAGGGGGGUAGAAUUCCACGUGUAGCAGUGAAAUGCGUAGAGAUGUGGAGGAAUACCGAUGGCGAAGGCAGCCCCCUGGGCAAUACUGACGCUCAUGCACGAAAGCGUGGGGAGCAAACAGGAUUAGAUACCCUGGUAGUCCACGCCCUAAACGAUGUCAACUAGUUGUUGGGGAUUCAUUUCCUUAGUAACGUAGCUAACGCGUGAAGUUGACCGCCUGGGGAGUACGGUCGCAAGAUUAAAACUCAAAUGAAUUGACGGGGUCAUAGCUGUUUCC